This 66-nucleotide transfer RNA is filed under the name Foenatopus ruficollis. RNAcentral describes it as "tRNA-Phe". Lineage: Eukaryota; Metazoa; Arthropoda; Insecta; Hymenoptera; Stephanidae. The record is from RNAcentral.
UUAUUUAUAAAUUAAUUUAUUAUUUAUUUAAAAAAUAUAUUAUUUAAUUCAAUUUUAAUAUUUUAU